Long non-coding RNA from Acanthopagrus latus (yellowfin seabream), 708 nucleotides. RefSeq lists it as uncharacterized. The record is from RefSeq and is a predicted model, not a curated record. The transcript is spliced from 3 exons. NCBI's taxonomy places the organism in Eukaryota, Metazoa, Chordata, Actinopteri, Spariformes, Sparidae.
ACCACCAAGACCCUGCUGGGAUUUAUUUACUGUUUUUGUUCUUUCUAGUUUCAUCGAGGUUACCUGCAUCAGGGAAGAGAGAUCCUUGCUGUCAGUAGCUUGGCACCUGCAGGCCUUUGUUUUUUUUAAUCCCAACUGGACCUGUUGGUACCAGAGCCCCUCUGUACACCUUCAGUUUGUUCCCAUUUAAUUUCAUCAGGCCUCUUGUAGCCUCCAUGGUGUUACUACUGAUGCCUCCGAUGGGGAGAUUGUGUUAUCAGCGGGGCCGAGGAGCCAGACUGCUGCUGCGCUGAUGGAGUGACAAGAGGUAUCCACCACUAAGACGGCAAAACACACCUGUGGCACGCAUACUUCUGAGUCCCCGAUGAGUCAGCAGUGAGUUGGCGUUAAACUGAGGAAUAGAUGAGAUUCCGACUGUCUACAUCCUGCACAUCAGACUAACAUCAGGCAGGCAGCUGAGAGUCUAUCUGCAGAUACAGAGUCACUACAGGACACACCUUCAGGACACACCUUCCACAUGGCAUCAAAAACGUCUCAGUUAGCUUAGGAGGGGAAAAAAAACAUGCCAAAGGAAUCAGGACGGCUCAGGUUGUCAGCACAGUAGGCACCAUAUGAAAAAAGAUCCAGGGAGAAGCGUAGAAAACGUAAAAAAUAUAAAGGAAUCACAAAUGAAACAAGGAGACAUUUGUUAAUGCAGCUGAAUGAGCA